Molecule: long non-coding RNA, 282 nt
Filed under: Elaeis guineensis (African oil palm)
Lineage: Eukaryota; Viridiplantae; Streptophyta; Magnoliopsida; Arecales; Arecaceae
Description: long non-coding RNA (EGUI_LNC051470)
Source: RNAcentral
CGUCCGAUCAUAGGAGAAAAGUAGGGUUUAAAGGCCCUCUCUUCCCAUUCGAUGGGGUCUCCUAUGGCGGUAGGGGUGUCGAUGCGAUUAUAUCCCAUGCAGAUGAAGUAGCGAAAGGAAUAUUCAUGAUUUAUUUUGAUUGAGUUAUUUUCUGUUAUGUAAUUAGCAAUAGGAUUGCUAUUUAUGAAAUGAGUCAACAUAUUUGGUGAACAGAAAAUAAAACCUUUCAAAUUUGAAAAUUAUUUUCGAAUUGCCAAACCCUGACCCAUCAGCCCAAAUACU